This 294-nucleotide ribosomal RNA is filed under the name uncultured Microcoleus sp. RNAcentral describes it as "partial 16S ribosomal RNA". It matches the Rfam family "Bacterial small subunit ribosomal RNA", at positions 642 to 935 of the family's 1533-position model. Lineage: Bacteria; Bacillati; Cyanobacteriota; Cyanophyceae; Oscillatoriales; Microcoleaceae. The record is from RNAcentral.
CGGCCGCGUCGACGGCAGAGGGAAUUCCUGGUGUAGCGGUGAAAUGCGUAGAGAUCAGGAAGAACAUCGGUGGCGAAGGCGCUCUGCUGGACCAUAACUGACACUCAGGGACGAAAGCUAGGGGAGCGAAUGGGAUUAGAUACCCCAGUAGUCCUAGCCGUAAACGAUGGAUACUAGGUGUUGUCUGUAUCUACCCGGACAGUGCCGUAGCUAACGCGUUAAGUAUCCCGCCUGGGGAGUACGCACGCAAGUGUGAAACUCAAAGGAAUUGACGGGGGCCCGCACAAGCGGUGG